Molecule: long non-coding RNA, 355 nt
Filed under: Crocodylus porosus (Australian saltwater crocodile)
Lineage: Eukaryota; Metazoa; Chordata; Crocodylia; Crocodylidae
Description: lncRNA (ENSCPRG00005011003.1)
Source: RNAcentral
GCUUGAUCCCUGCUCAGGCUUCGUCUUCUGGGUUGCCCGAAGCUUGGCACUCCCCUCCAGGACAACGGAUCCGGGAAGAGGACCGGAGCCCGCGGCCUUCCUCGCCCCCUCUGCUUUUCUCCGUGAUUCCCGGCGGGUUCAUCAAGCAGCUGGUUCGGGAGACCGAGAAGGAGUCGAAGGGAGUCAAACUGAAAGAGAAAAUCCAGCUGCGUGAGCAGGAGGAUCCCCUGGGGAAGUGCGACGACAGCUCAGCGCAGCCGCUGGCUCGCCAGGCCCGGGACAUCCUGCAGGUCGGAGGGACGAUGGGGAGCAAAGGAGAAGUGCUGCAGAACGGCCUGAACGGGGAGAAGCACGA